Molecule: ribosomal RNA, 626 nt
Filed under: uncultured bacterium
Lineage: Bacteria
Description: bacterial SSU rRNA
Rfam family: Bacterial small subunit ribosomal RNA (bases 1-526)
Source: RNAcentral
CCUACGGGAGGCAGCAGUGAGGAAUUUUCCGCAAUGGGCGAAAGCCUGACGGAGCAAUACCGCGUGAGGGAUGAAGGAUUUUGGUCUGUAAACCUCUUUUCUCAAGAAAGAAGUUCUGACGGUACUUGAGGAAUAAGCAUCGGCUAACUCCGUGCCAGCAGCCGCGGUAAUACGGGGGAUGCAAGCGUUAUCCGGAAUGAUUGGGCGUAAAGCGCCUGUAGGUUGUUUAUUAAGUCCGUUGUUAAAGCCUAGGGCUCAACCCUAGAAAAGCAAUGGAAACUAGUAGACUAGAGUAUGGCAGGGGUAGAGGGAAUUUCUAGUGUAGCGGUGAAAUGCGUAGAUAUUAGAAAGAAACACCGGUGGCGAAAGCGCUCUACUGGACCAUUACUGACACUCAGAGGCGAAAGCUAGGGUAGCAAAAAGGGAUUAGAUACCCCUGUAGUCCUAGCCGUAAACGAUGGAUACUAGAUGUUGUGNAUAUNUANAGUAUGUAGACUAACGACGUUAAGUUAAUACCCGUCCCGUCGGGGUAGGGUACGGCGUCCGCGAAGGGUAGGUAAAACGUUAAAAAGGUAAAAGUUAGUACGGCGUGAGACGUGCCGAACGGACGACACGAGGGGAGGAGG